GUGCUUGCUUCGGCAGCACACAUGCUAAAAUUGGAACGGUACAGAGAAGAUUAGCAUGGCCCCUGCGCAAGGACGACACGCAAAUCCAUGAAGCAUUCCAUAUUUUU
This is a small nuclear RNA of Fukomys damarensis (Damara mole-rat), 107 nucleotides long. NCBI's taxonomy places the organism in Eukaryota, Metazoa, Chordata, Mammalia, Rodentia, Bathyergidae. The record is from Ensembl.